This 309-nucleotide ribosomal RNA is filed under the name Triticum aestivum (bread wheat). Its description in RNAcentral is "partial small subunit ribosomal RNA". The record is from RNAcentral. Lineage: Eukaryota; Viridiplantae; Streptophyta; Magnoliopsida; Poales; Poaceae.
AUGGGCUGUACCAGGCCGUUGGUGGAGCCACGCUCUGGGCUGCAGGCAGGCAAGUCUGGGCACCCCCGUUCCUACAAUGCCGACAACGACUUUCUUGUGCUUCCUACUAGAUUGAUACCUUGGUUCUUAGCUGAGGGAAAUAUUGAUCCCUACUUCGCUGCAUCACCCUUUCAUCUUCAAGUGAAAAAUCUACACAAGCUCAACAAGAAGCAGGAAGAAUUUCUAGCGCCGUUGCCGGGGAGGUUCUACAUCAAGCCUACCAAGCCGACUAGAUCGAUUUUUCUUGCCAUGGGAAGAGGUGCUUUGUGA